RNAcentral lists this ribosomal RNA (253 nucleotides) under uncultured bacterium. Its description in RNAcentral is "partial 16S ribosomal RNA". It matches the Rfam family "Bacterial small subunit ribosomal RNA", at positions 524 to 776 of the family's 1533-position model. The record is from RNAcentral.
UACGUAGGGCGCAAGCGUUGUCCGGAAUUAUUGGGCGUAAAGAGCUCGUAGGCGGUCUGUUACGUCUGCUGUGAAAACCCGGGGCUUAACCCCGGGCUUGCAGUGGAUACGGGCAGACUAGAGGCAGGUAGGGGAGAAUGGAAUUCCCGGUGUAGCGGUGAAAUGCGCAGAUAUCGGGAGGAACACCGGUGGCGAAGGCGGUUCUCUGGGCCUGACCUGACGCUGAGGAGCGAAGGCCAGGGGAGCAAACGGG